GACGUAGGAUGCAAGCGUUGUCCGGAAUUAUUGGGCGUAAAGAGGUCGUAGGCGGUAUGUAAAGUCUGGUGUUAAAGCCCGGAGCUCAACUCCGGUUCGGCAUUGUAUACUUACAAACUAGAAUACAGACGAGGCAAAGGGAAUUCCUAGUGUAGCGGUGAAAUGCGUAGAUAUUAGGAGGAACACCAGUGGCGUAAGCGCUUUGCUAGUCUGUUAUUGACGCUGAGGAACGAAAGCCAGGGGAGCAAAUGGG
Molecule: ribosomal RNA, 253 nt
Filed under: uncultured bacterium
Lineage: Bacteria
Description: partial 16S ribosomal RNA
Rfam family: Bacterial small subunit ribosomal RNA
Source: RNAcentral